UGAGUAACCUGCCCUUAACUCUGGGAUAAGCCUGGGAAACUGGGUCUAAUACCGGAUAUGACUCCUCAUCGCAUGGUGGGGGGUGGAAAGCUUUAUUGUGGUUUUGGAUGGACUCGCGGCCUAUCAGCUUGUUGGUGAGGUAAUGGCUCACCAAGGCGACGACGGGUAGCCGG
This 173-nucleotide ribosomal RNA is filed under the name uncultured bacterium. RNAcentral's name for it is "partial 16S ribosomal RNA". It matches the Rfam family "Bacterial small subunit ribosomal RNA", at positions 118 to 290 of the family's 1533-position model. The record is from RNAcentral.